Molecule: ribosomal RNA, 490 nt
Filed under: uncultured bacterium
Lineage: Bacteria
Description: partial 16S ribosomal RNA
Rfam family: Bacterial small subunit ribosomal RNA
Source: RNAcentral
AUUGAACGCUGGCGGCAGGCCUAACACAUGCAAGUCGAACGGUAACAGGAAGCAGCUUGCUGCUUCGCUGACGAGUGGCGGACGGGUGAGUAAUGUCUGGGAAGCUGCCUGAUGGAGGGGGAUAACUACUGGAAACGGUAGCUAAUACCGCAUAAUGUCGCAAGACCAAAGAGGGGGACCUUCGGGCCUCUUGCCAUCGGAUGUGCCCAGAUGGGAUUAGCUUGUUGGUGGGGUAACGGCUCACCAAGGCGACGAUCCCUAGCUGGUCUGAGAGGAUGACCAGCCAAACUGGAACUGAGACACGGUCCAGACUCCUACGGGAGGCAGCAGUGGGGAAUAUUGCACAAUGGGCGCAAGCCUGAUGCAGCCAUGCCGCGUGUAUGAAGAAGGCCUUCGGGUUGUAAAGUACUUUCAGCGGGGAGGAAGGGAGUAAAGUUAAUACCUUUGCUCAUUGACGUUACCCGCAGAAGAAGCACCGGCUAACUCCGUG